GGUUUGUUAACUACAUGGGAAAUUCAAGGUAUUAGCAUUUCAGAUAAAGGUCUGUGUGUCAUUGAUGAGCUGCAACUGAAGGUGUCUGAAGAUCACCUUCUGGUCA
Suncus etruscus (white-toothed pygmy shrew) is the source of this 106-nucleotide long non-coding RNA. RefSeq lists it as uncharacterized. The record is from RefSeq and is a predicted model, not a curated record. Lineage: Eukaryota; Metazoa; Chordata; Mammalia; Eulipotyphla; Soricidae. The transcript has 2 exons.